Long non-coding RNA from Poeciliopsis prolifica (blackstripe livebearer), 542 nucleotides. RefSeq lists it as uncharacterized. NCBI's taxonomy places the organism in Eukaryota, Metazoa, Chordata, Actinopteri, Cyprinodontiformes, Poeciliidae. The transcript has 6 exons. The record is from RefSeq and is a predicted model, not a curated record.
AACUCCUCCAUCUGGAAACCCCACACUGCACCAACUCCUGGGAAACCCACAUACUCACCUCCACUCAUGUUAAACCUCAGACACAAACCUUCUGCUGCUCUGAAAGAACAAACUACAAACCAGGUUUGGCAUUAGUCUGGUUCUCCUGUGGUUCUGUUGGGUCUCAGUCUGUUGUUCAGAUUUUCUUCUUCAAGUCUUUGGAUUGUUUGAACAAACUGUGAAGCUAGAAAGUGUGUGUGAGCUGAUGUGGAUUCAGCAGCAUGGAUCAGUGUGAGGACAGAGAGGAGGGAGUCCCUCCCUCUAAAACCACUCUGUGUGGGGAAGAUGAGAGCCAGAGCAAAGGUCAGAGGUUGCGUAGGCGACUCGAACUACGUUCACAACUUUGGUCCCAUAUCGCCCACAUUGAAUCUCCUGGAUCUGCACCACCAGAGAGGAUCCAACAGAGACUCAAAUCAGAACCAGAACAGAACCAGAACCCAGCCGGUCGUCCUUUGCGAGCCUCAUGCUAAAGCAUCCGUCGAGAUACUCUGGAUCUUUUCUAC